This 70-nucleotide transfer RNA is filed under the name Trichiurus lepturus (Atlantic cutlassfish). RNAcentral describes it as "tRNA-Ile". It matches the Rfam family "tRNA". From Rfam's summary of the family: Transfer RNA (tRNA) molecules are approximately 80 nucleotides in length. Their secondary structure includes four short double-helical elements and three loops (D, anti-codon, and T loops). Lineage: Eukaryota; Metazoa; Chordata; Actinopteri; Scombriformes; Trichiuridae. The record is from RNAcentral.
GGAGUCGUGCCUGAAAUAAAGGGCCACUUUGAUAGAGUGGAUCAUGGGGGUUAAAAUCCCCCCGACUCCU